UUCUUCCUAUCUCCUCCCAUCCAGAACAACAACUAGAUCGCCGAUGCCGCCGCGCACCUAUUCUUCCCCUGCAUCCCCGCCUCCGUUUUCCCCUUCAUCACGAGUGAAGUUCCCACCUCCGCGGGUAGCGCGCGCUCGUACGCAUCAAAUCGGGGUCCAUCCCCAAAUGGGUGACCCGGAGUUGGAGAUGCGGCCGCGUUCAUCACCAAGCCGCAACCCACGACCCUCCAUAGCUAGCACGACAAGAUGAUUCCUUUAGACUACUGCUAGAUUGGUAUUCGAUCCCUGCUCCACAUCCUGAUUCGCGUUCUGUAGGACCCAAAGAAUUAGCUGGACAUACUUUAGAGAGUUGAACUACCAUGGUGGCAAUUAAUGGACUAAACUACACUGGAUUGCUACCUGCAUUUUACUUGAGUUGUGUUUGAUGGAUACUUGAUAUGAGAAUUAUGAUUUGUAUGAACCUACAUAUUAUACGUAUGGAUUUGAAUUUUUUAAUUCAAUGGCUAUUUUUUUA
This is a long non-coding RNA of Lolium perenne, 514 nucleotides long. RefSeq lists it as uncharacterized. The record is from RefSeq and is a predicted model, not a curated record. NCBI's taxonomy places the organism in Eukaryota, Viridiplantae, Streptophyta, Magnoliopsida, Poales, Poaceae.